AGACCCGAAACCCGGUGAUCUAGCCAUGGGCAGGUUGAAGGUUGGGUAACACUAACUGGAGGACCGAACCGACUAAUGUUGAAAAAUUAGCGGAUGACCUGUGGCUGGGGGUGAAAGGCCAAUCAAACCGGGAGAUAGCUGGUUCUCCCCGAAAGCUAUUUAGGUAGCGCCUCGUGAAUUCAUCUCCGGGGGUAGAGCACUGUUUCGGCCAGGGGGCCAUCCCGGCUUACCAAUCCGAUGCAAACUGCGAAUACCGGAGAAUGUUAUCACGGGAGACACACGGCGGGUGCUAACGUCCGUCGUGAAGAGGGAAACAACCCAGACCGCCAGCUAAGGUCCCAAAGUCAUGGUUAAGUGGGAAACGAUGUGGGAAGGCCCAGACAGCCAGGAUGUUGGCUUAGAAGCAGCCAUCAUUUAAAGAAAGCGUAAUAGCUCACUGGUCGAGUCGGCCUGCGCGGAAGAUGUAACGGGGCUAAACCAUGCACCGAAGCUGCGGCAGCGACACUGAUGUGUUGUUGGGUAGGGGAGCGUUCUGUAAGCCGUUGAAGGUGGCCUGUGAGGGUUGCUGGAGGUAUCAGAAGUGCGAAUGCUGACAUAAGUAACGAUAAAGCGGGUGAAAAGCCCGCUCGCCGGAAGACCAAGGGUUCCUGUCCAACGUUAAUCGGGGCAGGGUGAGUCGACCCCUAAGGCGAGGCCGAAAGGCGUAGUCGAUGGGAAACGGGUUAAUAUUCCCGUACUUGGUGUUACUGCGAAGGGGGGACGGAGAAGGCUAUGUUGGCCGGGCGACGGUUGUCCCGGUUUAAGCGUGUAGGUGUGUGUUCCAGGUAAAUCCGGUUCACUUUAACACUGAGGCGUGACGACGAGGCACUACGGUGCUGAAGCAACAAAUGCCCUGCUUCCAGGAAAAGCCUCUAAGCCUCAGGUAACAUCAAAUCGUACCCCAAACCGACACAGGUGGUCAGGUAGAGAAUACCAAGGCGCUUGAGAGAACUCGGGUGAAGGAACUAGGCAAAAUGGUGCCGUAACUUCGGGAGAAGGCACGCUGACACGUAGGUGAAGUGGUUUACCCAUGGAGCUGAAGUCAGUCGAAGAUACCAGCUGGCUGCAACUGUUUAUUAAAAACACAGCACUGUGCAAACACGAAAGUGGACGUAUACGGUGUGACGCCUGCCCGGUGCCGGAAGGUUAAUUGAUGGGGUCAGCGCAAGCGAAGCUCCUGAUCGAAGCCCCGGUAAACGGCGGCCGUAACUAUAACGGUCCUAAGGUAGCGAAAUUCCUUGUCGGGUAAGUUCCGACCUGCACGAAUGGCGUAAUGAUGGCCAGGCUGUCUCCACCCGGGACUCAGUGAAAUUGAACUCGCUGUGAAGAUGCAGUGUACCCGCGGCAAGACGGAAAGACCCCGUGAACCUUUACUAUAGCUUGACACUGAACACUGGUCCUUGAUGUGCAGGAUAGGUGGGAGGCUUUGAAGUGUGGACGCCAGUCUGCAUGGAGCCAUCCUUGAAAUACCACCCUUUAAUGGCUGGUGUUCUAACGUGGGCCCCUGACCGGGGUUGCGGACAGUGUCUGGUGGGUAGUUUGACUGGGGCGGUCUCCUCCUAAAGAGUAACGGAGGAGCACGAAGGUUGGCUAAUCCUGGUCGGACAUCAGGAGGUUAGUGCAAUGGCAUAAGCCAGCUUGACUGCGAGCGUGACGGCGCGAGCAGGUGCGAAAGCAGGUCAUAGUGAUCCGGUGGUUCUGAAUGGAAGGGCCAUCGCUCAACGGAUAAAAGGUACUCCGGGGAUAACAGGCUGAUACCGCCCAAGAGUUCAUAUCGACGGCGGUGUUUGGCACCUCGAUGUCGGCUCAUCACAUCCUGGGGCUGAAGUAGGUCCCAAGGGUAUGGCUGUUCGCCAUUUAAAGUGGUACGCGAGCUGGGUUUAGAACGUCGUGAGACAGUUCGGUCCCUAUCUGCCGUGGGCGCUGGAAGAUUGAGGGGGGCUGCUCCUAGUACGAGAGGACCGGAGUGGACGCAUCACUGGUGUUCGGGUUGUCAUGCCAAUGGCACUGCCCGGUAGCUACAUGCGGAAGAGAUAAGUGCUGAAAGCAUCUAAGCACGAAACUUGCCCCGAGAUGAAUCUUCCCUGAGCCUUUAAGGCUCCUGAAGGAACGUUGAAGACGACGACGUUGAUAGGCCGGGUGUGUAAGCGCAGCGAUGCGUUGAGCUAACCGGUACUAAUGAACCGUGAGGCUUAACCUUACAAC
This 2244-nucleotide ribosomal RNA is filed under the name Salmonella enterica subsp. houtenae. RNAcentral's name for it is "partial 23S ribosomal RNA". It matches the Rfam family "Bacterial large subunit ribosomal RNA", at positions 711 to 2925 of the family's 2925-position model. The record is from RNAcentral. Lineage: Bacteria; Pseudomonadati; Pseudomonadota; Gammaproteobacteria; Enterobacterales; Enterobacteriaceae.